UUCAUUCAAGGAAAAGCGGAAUGCCUCGUCAAUUGGUAUGCGCCUCUUUCUACCCCCUCCAUGGACCCGACAAUGUUUCCCAGAGAAGAAAUUUAACCUCUUCCCGCCUGGAUCCCACCGAAGCUCCAGCGCAGCUCUCUGGGAAUGCCCCCAUGCAUGACGCUGCUGCAAGAAAUGUGAGGCGAGGAGUAGGGGGAGCAGCAGACACUGAGGAAAAAGAAAGAGGGGGAGCUUCGCAGGAUGCCGCAACGAAGUUUGGAGCACAAAGCAGGAUGAGGCGAUAAACAGGCUGUUGCUUUUCCGCUUGCCUGCACACACUGAAUCCCUCUUUCCCUGUCUUUUAAUGGGCCUCACAUUAGCAUCUGUUUAGCGUCAGCCUCAACAUGGCCUGUGGAGGAUGAUUAAAAUAACCCAGCUAUCGCGUAACAUCCUGGCAGCGACAUCAAAAUACGGUCAGACGUUGGAAUAUUUGCAGCAACAGACGUUUUAGAAAGUUUGUACGAACGUUCUCCACUUAACAAUAUUUAUUAGCUGCUCCUGUUCAAAUAUUCCUCUUAUGAGAUUACCUUCCCUGUGGAAAGAUAUACUUUAAUAUGCCAGGAACAAGCAUUCAACAUUAAGAUUAUUAUGGAGCACUUCAUCAUCUACAGUAUCAAAUAUGUUUUCAUGCAUGGAUGCACUUGUAUAAAAGAGAUGAACAAAAUUACUCAAUAUUAAAGUAUCUCUGACUGUC
This is a long non-coding RNA of Amphiprion ocellaris (clown anemonefish), 733 nucleotides long. RefSeq lists it as uncharacterized. The transcript has 2 exons. NCBI's taxonomy places the organism in Eukaryota, Metazoa, Chordata, Actinopteri, Pomacentridae. The record is from RefSeq and is a predicted model, not a curated record.